RNAcentral lists this ribosomal RNA (487 nucleotides) under uncultured bacterium. Its description in RNAcentral is "partial 16S ribosomal RNA". It matches the Rfam family "Bacterial small subunit ribosomal RNA", at positions 29 to 508 of the family's 1533-position model. The record is from RNAcentral.
AUUGAACGCUGGCGGCAUGCCUUACACAUGCAAGUCGAACGGCAGCACGGGGGGUAACCCCUGGUGGCGAGUGGCGAACGGGUGAGUAAUAUAUCGGAACGUGUCCUGUAGCGGGGGAUAACCUAUCGAAAGAUGGACUAAUACCGCAUACGACCUACGGGUGAAAGCGGAGGACCGCAAGGCUUCGCACUAUAGGAGCGGCCGAUAUCGGAUUAGCUAGUUGGCGGGGUAACGGCCCACCAAGGCGACGAUCCGUAGCUGGUCUGAGAGGACGAUCAGCCACACUGGAACUGAGACACGGUCCAGACGCCUACGGGAGGCAGCAGUGGGGAAUUUUGGACAAUGGGCGCAAGCCUGAGCCAGCCAUGCCGCGUGAGUGAAGAAGGCCUUCGGGUUGUAAAGCUCUUUCGGCGGGGACGAAACGGUUCGUGCUAAUACCACGGACUACUGACGGUACCCGCAGAAGAAGCACCGGCUAACUACGUGC